Molecule: ribosomal RNA, 571 nt
Filed under: Cladosporium sp. 1_5_M13F_C02_J
Lineage: Eukaryota; Fungi; Ascomycota; Dothideomycetes; Cladosporiales; Cladosporiaceae
Description: eukaryotic LSU rRNA
Rfam family: 5.8S ribosomal RNA (bases 195-348)
Source: RNAcentral
GGAUCGCCCUUGUAGGUGAACCUGCGGAGGGAUCAUUACAAGUGACCCCGGUCUAACCACCGGGAUGUUCAUAACCCUUUGUUGUCCGACUCUGUUGCCUCCGGGGCGACCCUGCCUUCGGGCGGGGGCUCCGGGUGGACACUUCAAACUCUUGCGUAACUUUGCAGUCUGAGUAAACUUAAUUAAUAAAUUAAAACUUUUAACAACGGAUCUCUUGGUUCUGGCAUCGAUGAAGAACGCAGCGAAAUGCGAUAAGUAAUGUGAAUUGCAGAAUUCAGUGAAUCAUCGAAUCUUUGAACGCACAUUGCGCCCCCUGGUAUUCCGGGGGGCAUGCCUGUUCGAGCGUCAUUUCACCACUCAAGCCUCGCUUGGUAUUGGGCAACGCGGUCCGCCGCGUGCCUCAAAUCGACCGGCUGGGUCUUCUGUCCCCUAAGCGUUGUGGAAACUAUUCGCUAAAGGGUGUUCGGGAGGCUACGCCGUAAAACAACCCCAUUUCUAAGGUUGACCUCGGAUCAGGUAGGGAUACCCGCUGAACUUAAGCAUAUCAAUAAGCGGAGGAAAGGGCGAUCCC